CUCCGAGCGGGCGGGAUCGCCCCUUCUCCUGCCCGCGCCGCACAAAGGGGACCCGCCGCUGCCGCCUUUGUUCGGCCGAGCGGCGCCGGCAAGGGAGGGCGGCGGGUGGCAGGCUGGACGCUUCUCCCAUGCGAAGAUUGUUCCUCCGCCACUGGCAGACACGGAGUAACUUCACCGAAGUUAAUUUAGGUCUGUGAUGAAAACCUCUUCACCUGUGCCAAGCGCUGCUCGGCAUCCAGCACUGAAGUCAGCCUACGCGCGGUGCUUCAGCUGCCUGUUUAUGCCUCAGGAGCUGACUCCUGUUAAAUUAAGGGUGGGUGUUUUAUUGCUCAGGGUAGAUGGGAUCGUGAAGACUGGUUUCUUAGCAUUCUGUCCUUGGCAGCCACCAAGAACUACUGAAAAACGAGUUUCAGAUGCACCUUUACCCCGUUAUCUGUGGUAGGUCACAGAUCUUCUUUCAAACGUUGCUACUCAUUUGCCUAUUGUUCUACGUGUCCAGUUGCUCACUGACCAUUGAGACCUUCAGUUCAGGUACUUGAGGUCAACACAUGCAGCCCUGUCAUGCCAGUUAAAAGGAUAGAGGGAGGAGAAUUUCCCCUCAUUCACAUCUCACUUAGAAGAGACUGACAGACUUAUAAAUGGAGCUAGAAAAUUCAAAAGAGGACAAGAUUGCUGAGUGUGACUGAGUAUCACCCAAGCCAGCUGAGUUGCGGUGUGGGAAUAAACCCAAAAGCUUUUACAUGAAGAGGGGUGGCAGCAGCACUCCCUGCAGAAUAUAAAACUACCCAACCUUCCAAGCCUUGCUUUUUCUUCCUUACUUGAUUUCUCUGCUGGGAAUAGCUCAUUCAGCAGCACAACAGGCAGCACAACAUGGCCUUAUACAUUGUCUAGCCCCAAAUGUGCAAUACCAUGCUGGCACUCACCCACAGCGUUCCUCCAGUGGAGCUGCAGGUGUGUUCCAGGCACUGCUACCUCCAGGACCUGCUUUGAAGAGUGCACCAGAUACCCUGGCAAGGGGAGGUUGGGGAAAAAAAAAAGAGAGAGAAAAAAUCAAUCCAUGUUACUGCAUUGGAGCUACUCAUAAAGGGCCUCCCCCCCACCCCAAGUUAUCAACUCUUGCUGCUAGUAGGUAUCUGAUGAUAUUUAUAUAGUGCAUGUGGGUAGUGACUGUGUCCCUUUCUCUGUUGGCUGUUCUGAGAGCUUCUUUUGACAGCUGAUACAUGAAAAGAUUUGUUGUUUUUUGAAAUGUAGUGGCAGAGUUUUUAUACUUUGGGCCAGAGUGUCAGUGAAGGUUCUUUAGUGAUGUGUGCAUUGGAAGUGACAAGCGGUGAAUAACUGACAUCAGGCAUAAGUAAUAUUUGUAGUCUGACUUUGAUAUGUUAUUCUUUAAAAAAAUCCAGUCUGUAAAUACAGUCUACAUUUGUUAGCUUGAAAGGAAGGAAAGGGGAUGAGUGCAAAUACAGAAGACAGAAGUGGAAAACCGUAACAAGAAGAAAAAGCAAGCAGAAAUAAGCUGAUAAAGAUAAAAAGGAGUGAGAGUAUUAAAAGAGAGAAUAUAGACAUACGAAUGGAUCAGAACUAAUACAAAAAUGCUGAAAAAUGUGAGAAAAAUUGAAGAUGAAAGGAAUCACAAUGUAACAGAUCAGAAAAAAAUAGUGUUUGUAAACUCUAAUCUGAAUUCCUAUAUACAAUCAAUAAGGACUUCAGCACCCUAUGAAAUAAAUGUGUUUUGUAAAAGAGGUAUGUGAUGAAGUCCCAUUGACUGGGAAAAACUCUAGUUUGCAAGUCAAAAGGAUUCUGUAAAGUUAUUUAAAAUGCACAGCAGGAACAGGUGGGGUGGUUGAUAUGUGUACCGUGUAGAAGCAAUUUGGAUGGUGAUGUAAAACAAAUAUUAUGUUUAACACCCAUAAGAACAAUGCAGUUUUUCAGCAAGAAAUGGGUUAUUCCAGGGAAGACAUUUGAAUGAACUUGUGGGGCUCUUUCACUGACUUCAGUGAAGCUCAUGACUGUAUUUUCAUUCAGACAUUUUGCUUUUCUUUGUUAAUUAUCUGUAGACUAGAAAUGGCAAUGAGAGCAGUAAGCCAUAAGGUGGUAUGUACUUUUGCUGAAUUCUUUAUUCACAUGUUGCCCAUUAUUUUCUUUGAGAGUAGGAAAAGUAUAAUCCAGCAGGGAACAAAUCUUUAAAGUCAUUGAAGUACUUUCCAAAAGGAAAUAUUUUACAUCCGAAAACGAGAAGAGAGAGAGAUAAGGGACUUACAGGAUAGGUCAGUGGCUGAAGCAGAAUAUCAGCUCCUACUUGGUGGUCUCAUUAUCACCCCCAAACAGCACUUUUACAUAGAAGAGUUGUCUGAUAAAACUUCACAUCAGUCAGCACACUUUUUCAAAGUACUGAACGUAAUAACAGGAAAAGUAUGCAAGUCAAUAUGUUUAAAUAGCAUAAAUCACAGAAGAGACACAUUGUCUAUCCACGAGAAAAAAAACCAAAACCAAAAAACCAAACAGAUUUUAAUAUUGUAUUAUGGAAGUGGAGCAUCAACUGCCUUCUUCCUUUACUUGGCUGCUCAUAGGACUUAGUUGCAGCAGAAAAGCCAUACAGUAGGCUUUUAGGAAGGGGUGGAGCCAACACUGCGUAGGGACUGCACUCAGCUCUACUUCCAGAGAAGCCACGGGUGCUAAACAGCUUUCAAAUGCUUACCUUUCCACAGCUGUGAACAGAGAUGCUACCUUUGUGCUUCUGUUCUAGCAAUUGAAUAAAUAUUUAUUAUUUCCUCA
Pipra filicauda (Wire-tailed manakin) is the source of this 2772-nucleotide long non-coding RNA. RefSeq lists it as uncharacterized. The transcript is spliced from 4 exons. Lineage: Eukaryota; Metazoa; Chordata; Aves; Passeriformes; Pipridae. The record is from RefSeq and is a predicted model, not a curated record.